GCAGACACAUUCCAGCCAAUCAGCAGCAGACCCUCCCUCCCAGGCCCUCCCCCCGCCUGGACUGCUCACUAAGAAUGUAGUGGAUGCUGUCCAGGAGGUGGGAGGGUCUGGGAGGGAAUAAUGGAUGCUGUCCAGGAGGUGGGAGGGUCUGGGAGGGAGGGUCUGAUGCUGAUUGGCUGGAAUGUGUCUG
Pelobates cultripes (western spadefoot toad) is the source of this 190-nucleotide non-coding RNA. NCBI's taxonomy places the organism in Eukaryota, Metazoa, Chordata, Amphibia, Anura, Pelobatidae. The record is from the annotation of a GenBank genome assembly.